UCGAACAGACCUAAAUUUUUAGCUUCUACACCAAAAUUUAAUUUUAAUCCAACAUCGAGGUCGCAAUCUCUUUUUUCGAUAUGAACUCUCAAAAAAAAUUACGCUGUUAUCCCUAAGGUAAUUUACUCUUUUAAUCUAAAUAUUAGGAUCAAAUACUCACAAAUCAAUGAUUUAAUACAAAAAAAGUUUAUUUAAUUUUUCAAUCACCCCAACUAAAUUAAUUAUUCUAUAAAAUUCUAUUAAUACUAAAUAAUUCCAUAUAAAAUUAAUUAAACUCUAUAGGGUCUUCUCGUCUUCUAUAAUUAUUUAAGCUUUUUAACUUAAAAAUAAAAUUCUAACUAAUUUAGAUAGAGACAGAUUUUUUCACAUCAAACCUUUCAUUCCAGCUUUCAAUUAAAAAACUAAUGAUUAUGCUACCUUUGCACGGUCAAACUACCGCGGCCAUUUAAUUUCUCAUUGGGCAGGCCCGACCUUAAAUUAUUAACAAAAG
RNAcentral lists this ribosomal RNA (490 nucleotides) under Syntrophus sp. 2 MB-2015. RNAcentral describes it as "partial 16S ribosomal RNA". The record is from RNAcentral. Lineage: Eukaryota; Metazoa; Arthropoda; Insecta; Coleoptera; Curculionidae.